GAUCCUGACCGACGCGCCUCUCUCUCUUUCUGUGUCCGGAAAUUCAUCCACGCUCGAUUCUCAAACUAACUCUCAGUUAGACUUUGUCUCCUAAGCCGUUUACAUCGUGGGGGUGCGAAGUGGAGACCAAUCAUUCGAGAUAUCAUUUUUCAUUUUUUACCACCUCCCAUCCCACCGGAUGUCAAUGUCCGUAAAACCUCACGCGUGUCAAUGACAAUCGAAAAAAAAGUGUAAAUCAAAGUGCCAGCAACUGUGUUUACAAUCGGCUAAUUAUGUGAGAAAAAUUCACGCACAUUUUUCUUCAAAACUGCACAAAUGAAUUCUAAAAUGAUGGAUCUAUAUAUACAUUUAAUAGACUUGUUUUAAAAGUUUCAACAACGAAUGAAGAACGGCUUGUAAAAUUUUUGGAGCUUAACUAAUUGCAAUUUACGCACACACACACACACACACUGAAUAUUACAAAUUCAUAACAUUUUUUCAAAUUAAAAGCACAAUAUUGAAGCAUAUUUCUCAUAUCUAUACAUUUAAAAAAAAAAAAUUUAUAUCACAUAUAUAUAUAAGUCUCAAAAUAUGGAAAAUAAUUAGCUGCCAGAAGAAUUUAAAUUUGCUAUAAUAUUUUUUCACAUUAAAUUUUUGAAAAAGAGUGAAAUUUUCUCCCUUUUUUCUACUCUUUUUAUAAAAAAAAUAUAUAUAUAUCCUCAAAAAGGGACCAAUUUUCAAUUCGAAAGUAUUAAAUAAUAUAAGCAACAACAACAACAGGAUAUAUAGUCAUUUAAAAGGUGAAAAAAAAAAACUGUUUCAAAGGGAGAAAAAUGAAAUAAAAACGAAUUUAUUGAAAUAAUGAAUUGAAUUUAAAAAAGAAAAGGAAACCAAGAGAAAAUUUGUGACACGAAGAAACCUGUAUUAAGGUUUGUGAAUGUAAGACGUCCUUUAGAAAAUGUGAUUUUUCAAGAAAGAAAGAAAGAAAAAAAAAAUAGAAUUCAAGUGAAGAAAGUGAUUAUAAUCGAGUGCCAAAUUAUAUAUCUAUCUAUAUAUAUAUAUAUUAUAUAAAAAUAUAUACAUAUUAGCUUUGCGGAUACAAUUUAAUUGUAAUAUUUUAAAAAGCAAUAUUGCAAAAACCGUGAGAUAUAUAUAUAUCUGAUUGAAAGGAAAUAUUUGAAGGAAGUUAUUUUCAAUUCGCAACAUGCCUGCUCCAACAUCAACAAGAACUACCAGUAGUGAAGCUAUUCGAAUGGAGCCUCUUGGGAGAACAUCUAGCUCCCGAAGCCCUGGACAAAACGGAACUGCCAAUACUGAAGUGCCCGCAAAUUCCGGAGACAGUAACACAGGGUUACACAAACGCAGCAUAUAUGAACACAAUGGAGUCGCCGUUUGUUCACAAAAGAAAGCACUUUGUAUUGCCACCGUUGUUUUCGGCAUCCUCUUUGCCAUAUCACUCAUCAUUGCAUUCGCGGGACCACAGAAUGACUGCCCUUGUGCUGGAGAAAAGCCAGCGAAUCUGGAAAUCAACGAGGACGAGGAAGGCGGUGAGCUGCUUGCAACGAACGGAGAGGUAUUUCCAUGGAAUAACGUAAGAUUACCUUCAUUUGCACAUCCAACUAGAUACAUCAUCACUAUCCAUCCAAACCUUACGACGCUGGAAGUCAAGGGGCAAGUCACAAUUGAGUUUUUCGUGGAUAAAGAGACCAAUUUUAUCGUCUUCCAUAGUAAAAAUUUGACAAUAAAUGAAAAGAUGGUCCAAGAUCGCAAAGGCCACAGAUUAAAAAUUGCAAAAUUGCUGGAAUAUCCGAAACAUCAGCAGGUUUAUUUGGAAUUAGAAGAAAGCAAAUUUCGAAAGAAGGCAAAUUAUACAGUUCAUCUUAGAUUUGUUUCAAAAUUGAAAAAUGAACUCGAAGGAUUUUAUUUGAGCAGCUACGUUACUAGCGAUGGGGAAAAAAGGUAUUUAGCAACAACACAUUUUGAGCCAACUUAUGCGCGUUCUGCGUUUCCUUGUUUUGAUGAGCCACAGUUCAAGGCAAAGUUCAAAGUCUCCAUAUUCAGAGACAGGUUUCACAUAGCUUUGUGUAACAUGCCUGUUAUGAAUACCGAGGAUGCUGGAUUUUACAUGGGAACGGGCCUUCUUCGUGAUGAUUUUCAAGAAUCUGUGGAAAUGUCAACUUAUCUUGUGGCUUUUGUCGUUUGCGAUUUCAACAGAAUUUCCGAAUUGACCAAUAGAAAUGUUUCCGUUAGUGUUUAUGCCGCUGAAGCUAUGCUUCCACAGGCAAAAUAUGCUCUCAAUAUUGCAGCACGCACUAUGGAUUAUUUCGAAUCAUUUUUCGGUGUUCACUAUCCACUGCCAAAGCAAGACUUGAUAGCCAUACCAGACUUUGCAGCGGGUGCAAUGGAAAAUUGGGGUCUCAUAACAUAUCGAGAGACAUCAAUUCUUUAUGAUCCCGAUGAAACAUCAACAGUGGCACACGAAUGGGUGGCUGUAAUUGUUGCACACGAACUUGCACAUCAGUGGUUUGGCAAUUUGGUUACAAUGAAAUGGUGGAAUGAUCUUUGGUUAAAUGAAGGCGCUGCCAGUUAUUUGGAAUAUAAAGGUGUCAAUCAUCUUGCACCCGAAUGGAGUAUGAUGGAUCAAUUUAUUUUAGAUAAAAUACAACCAGCAUUGGAUUUAGAUGGUCUUGCCAGUAGUCAUUCGAUAAGUGUCACCGUUAAGGAUCCCACUGAAAUCGAGGCAAUUUUCGAUACAAUCAGUUAUAAUAAAGGCGCUUCGAUACUUUAUAUGUUGGAAAACUUUUUAAAUGAGGAUGUUUUGAAAAGUGGACUCAAUGAAUAUUUAAAUAAUUACGCGUACGGCAAUGCGGACACUGGUGACUUUUGGAGUGUCUUCACUAAACAUUCGAAUAAUACUUUUGACGUGAAGACAAUAAUGGAAACAUGGACACAGCAAACUGGAUUUCCUCUUAUCACUAUUUCGAGGGAGGGUAAUAUUAUCACAGCGAGUCAAAAACGUUUUCUUGUAUCUCCCCGUGAUAAUGACACUGCACUUCUUGAACCAAAAUCACCGUUUAAUUAUAAAUGGUACGUUCCUCUAAGUUACUACACGGAUAAGGAUCCAACGAAUAUCACCAGCAUUUGGAUGAAUAUGACAAAUGUGACCUUUGAGAUUGCAUCAGAAGUGGAAUAUAUAAAAUGCAAUGUGAAUCAGACGGGAUUUUAUCGUGUGACCUAUCCCGACGAGAUGUGGACAUCGAUAAUAAAAACUCUAUUAAGCGAUCAUGUGAGAUUUAGUCCAGCAGAUCGUGCCAAUUUAUUGGAUGAUGUAUUUACAUUGUGCGAAGCUGGUGAAUUAAAUGCAUCGGUACCAUUGGAAUUAUCAUUGUACUUGUUAAAUGAACGUGAUUAUGUGCCUUGGGCGACAGCAUUGGGAUAUUUACAUUCGUGGAGGCAAAAAUUAAGUGAAAGUUCCGGAUACAAAAAGUACAUUGCUUUCUUGAAAAAAUUACUUGGACCUGUAACCAAAUAUGUUGGCUGGAGUGAUGAGGGAUCACAUUUGAUGAAAUUGCUACGAAUUGCCAUUCUACAGUUUGCAGUGGAACUUCAAUUAGAUGAAGUUAUUCAACCGGCAACAAAUUUAUUUGAAAAUUGGAUGUUUAGAGGGACACGAAUAAGUCCAAAUAUUCGUGAUGUUGUGUACGCUGCAGGCAUAAAAUUUGGUGGACAAUCCGAGUGGAACUAUUGUUGGGAUACUUAUCAGAAAACACAAAUUCCUAGUGAAAAAAGAGUAAUGCUUCGAGCUUUGGGAUCGUCGAAUGAUCCUUGGUUACUUCAAAGAUAUCUUUUAAAGAGUACUGAUCGAGAAAAAGUGAGAGUGCAAGAUGUAGAAACAGUGGUUGCUUCAGUUGCAAAAAAUGCUGAAGGAAAAUUUCUCGCAUGGAGACAUUUGAAGGCAUUUUGGCCACAAGUUCAUUCAACAUUUGGCAAUGGCUCCUUAUCGAUAGGAGGAUUAAUUCAUAUUGUCACUUCUGAAUUUUUCACUCAAUACGAUUACAAGGAGGUCUCAGAAUUUUUUAAAAAUAGAGACGUGGGAAGCGGUCAACGAAUGUUGGAACAAAGUUUGGAAAAAAUAAGAUUUAAUAUUCAUUGGGUGAAAAAUAAUGCAGAAGUGAUUGACGAGUGGCUAACGAAUUAUUUAAAAUCAAAGAAAAGUUAAAAUUGGGAUUUCGAAAAAAAAGAAGAAGAAGAAGAAAAAGAAGAAAUAAAGACGAGAAGUGAAUUCUGACGAAUUCCAAUAAAAAACUACUUCAGAAUUGAAUAAUUCAGUUCGAAGUCUGCAGCAUCGUUUCUUCGACGUCACAGAAGGAUAUUCAGCUCUCAGGAAGAAAGAAAAAUGACAGUUCCAGAAAAAAGAUAAUUCACAUGUUAAGACUGGACACCAGAGAGUAAAUUUAAAUUGUAAGAUUAGUAUUAUAUUAUUACGUAUUAUAUUUUGUGCAAUUGCGAUAAAAAAAAAAAAAAAAAAAAUACGAUAACAUUUCGUAUAUUUUGGGGGAGAAAAAAAACGUCGAAGCUAUGUCUUAUAUCUUGCAUAUUAUAUUAUAUAUAUUAUAACUUUUACAGUUAGAAAAUAUGUAUAACAAUAUUAUAAAUAUAUUGUAUACUUAUCUCUUCUGUACCAGUUGUCAUAGAUAUUUUGUUGUAUGAACAAAAGAAUGCGGAAUAUGUACAAGUAUAUAUAUAUAUAUAUAUAUAUAUAU
This is an RNA transcript of Leptopilina boulardi, 4742 nucleotides long. It is a transcript of the gene named endoplasmic reticulum aminopeptidase 2-like, with no coding region annotated. The record is from RefSeq and is a predicted model, not a curated record. NCBI's taxonomy places the organism in Eukaryota, Metazoa, Arthropoda, Insecta, Hymenoptera, Figitidae. The transcript has 16 exons.